CUACAACACCUAGAUGUGCUAGAAGAUUUUGUGACACUACACAAAGAGACCAUCGCAAAGAAGUACCGUGACCGUGGGGUUCAUAGGACAGACAUUGAAGUUAUUAGAGAGCGCAACUCCACUUUCUUGCGUUGGUUCAAAGAGCGAGCUCUGGCUAAUCCCCCGGAAGAGGGUUCUCCGAACGGAACACUCAUAUACGCCUUAGCACAUGGCCCCUCGACCAAACUCGCGACUUAUCAAGCAUACAAUAUCAACAGAUACACGUUCUACAUGGAGGAGAAAGAUAUAAACAGUGAUGACCAAAACUCA
Molecule: ribosomal RNA, 309 nt
Filed under: Triticum aestivum (bread wheat)
Lineage: Eukaryota; Viridiplantae; Streptophyta; Magnoliopsida; Poales; Poaceae
Description: partial small subunit ribosomal RNA
Source: RNAcentral